AACGCGAAGAACCUUACCAGGACUUGACAUCCCUCUGACAGGACUUUAACAGGUCCCUCCUUCGGGCAGAGGAGACAGGUGGUGCAUGGUUGUCGUCAGCUCGUGUCGUGAGAUGUUGGGUUAAGUCCCGCAACGAGCGCAACCCUUGUCAUUAGUUGCCAUCAUUAAGUUGGGCACUCUAGUGAGACUGCCGGGGAUAACUCGGAGGAAGGUGGGGAUGACGUCAAAUCAUCAUGCCCCUUAUGUUCUGGGCUACACACGUGCUACAAUGGCCGGUACAGAGAGAAGCAAUAUCGCGAGGUGGAGCAAAUCUUCAAAACCGGUCCCAGUUCGGAUUGCAGGCUGCAACUCGCCUGCAUGAAGUCGGAGUUGCUAGUAAUCGCGAAUCAGAAUGUCGCGGUGAAUGCGUUCCCGGGUCUUGUACACACCG
This 430-nucleotide ribosomal RNA is filed under the name uncultured bacterium. Its description in RNAcentral is "bacterial SSU rRNA". It matches the Rfam family "Bacterial small subunit ribosomal RNA", at positions 958 to 1392 of the family's 1533-position model. The record is from RNAcentral.